RNAcentral lists this ribosomal RNA (501 nucleotides) under uncultured bacterium. Its description in RNAcentral is "bacterial SSU rRNA". It matches the Rfam family "Bacterial small subunit ribosomal RNA", at positions 761 to 1267 of the family's 1533-position model. The record is from RNAcentral.
GUGGGUAGCGAACGGGAUUUAGAUACCCCCCGGUAGUCCCACGCCGUAAACGGUGGGAUACUAGGUGUUGGUGGCUAUCGUCAUCCAGUGCCCGUAGCUAACGCGUUAAGUAUCCCGCCUGGGGACUACGGCCGCAAGGCUAAAACUCCAAAGGAAUUGACGGGGGCCCGCACAAGCAGCGGAGCGUGUGGUUUAAUUCGAGGCAACACGAAGAACCUUACCUGGGUUUGACAUGUACGUAGUAGUGAAGCGAAAGCGGAACGAUCCUUCGGGAAGCGUACACAGGUGCUGCAUGGCUGUCGUCAGCUCGUGCCGUGAGGUGUUCGGUUAAGUCCGGUAACGAGCGCAACCCUCGCUGUUAGUUACCAUGUGUCUAACGGGACUGCCGGUUUAAUGCCGGAGGAAGGUGGGGAUGACGUCAAGUCAGCAUGGCCUUUAUGUCCAGGGCUACACACACGCUACAAUGGCCGGUACAAUGGGUUGCCAAGCCGCGAGGUGGAG